RNAcentral lists this long non-coding RNA (174 nucleotides) under Monodelphis domestica (gray short-tailed opossum). RNAcentral's name for it is "lncRNA (ENSMODG00000034501.2)". The record is from RNAcentral. Lineage: Eukaryota; Metazoa; Chordata; Mammalia; Didelphimorphia; Didelphidae.
CUGCUAUCAGCCACUGUUUUCCUGGGGAGAGACGCUGUUAGGAUGCUGUCAGUACAAAUCCCCUGACCUCCAAGGUUCACAAGGUCAUCUUCUGAACAAGAUCAUUUUACAGGUGAGGAAACUGAGGGGAACAGGGUUACAUGGCUUAUCCAGGGUCCCACAGCUGGUAAGUAU